CCGGCGUGACGCUCGGAUCUCGUUGUUAUCGCGUUCGCUGCCGCGUCGUUUCGCCGAGUUUUGAGCGGCCCUUCCGAGGACCGUGCGAAUCUUAGGUUAGGUUGGGGGUCGCGUGGUCGCCAGGUCGGUCCAGGCUUGGCCGGCAGGUGGCGGGUGGACCGGCGCGCCGAAAAACAGGACCGCGAACAGUCGUGAACGGGAACGAGACCAGGCCUGCCGCCAUUGGCGGAGCCCAGAGGCCGGAACAAUGCUGACUACUCUGAUGGCCAUCGUCGCGGUGAUCCUGUGCAUUCUCUUCCGUAUACUAAACGUGAACAGCGCCCCGCAGAAGCCCCAGCUUUACUGCCAGGAUCAGGCCUUCCUUGCGAGCAUCCUCAAGAUCUCCCCGGUGCUCGCCGAGCCAUACAAGCCGACGAGAUUAUGGGGUUUCAGCGGACAUGUACAGACGGUGGUGCACAGUGUCAUCGGAAGAGUGAAAUGCCCCUGGCCAACGGGAGAGCGAGUUUAUGUUGCUUUACCGGACGAGACGACCCUGACCUACGAUCUGUACCAACCCCUUUCUUCCUUCGAGGACGAUGUCACGAUAGCCAUCUGUCCCGGAAUCGGCAACAGCUCCGAGAGUGUCUACGUUAAGACUUUCGUCCACUUCGUCCAGUAUCACGGUUAUCGGUGUGCAGUACUUAAUCAUAUCGGGGUUCUCGCCAAUGUCAAGCUUACUUCCCCGAGGAUAUUCACUUACGGCCACACGGACGAUUAUCACGCGAUGCUGCUGAACCUGUUGGAGAAACACCCGAAUACGAGGGUUGUUUGCAUCGGGUUCAGUUUAGGUGGGAACAUCGUGACCAAGUACAUCGGAGAACGAGGGACGAACAAGCUGCCCAACAUCAUCGGUGGCAUUUCCAUUUGUCAAGGCUACAAUGCCAUAGAGGGCACAAAGUUUCUGCUCAACUGGCAGAACUUCAGGCGCUUCUACUUCUACGUGAUGACCGAAUCGAUGAGGAACAUCAUCCUGAAGCACAAGCACGUCCUUCUCUCGGAGGAAGUGAAACGACGACAUGGCCUCAACGAACGGGAAAUCAUUUCCGCGGCGACCUUACCCGAGCUCGACGAAGCUUACACAAGAAAGGUGCACAACUUCCGGUCGGUGAAUGACAUGUACAAAUGGAGCAGUUGCAUUUCAUAUUUGGACGGCGUUAAUACUCCCAUGGUGUUCAUCAAUGCGUUGGAUGACCCGCUCGUUCCGGAACCGCUAUUGGAGCCUAUCAAGGACUUCGCAAAGAAUCGUUCGAACGCGCUGUAUGUGGAAUUGGCACAUGGUGGUCAUUUGGGCUUUUACGAGGGUGGCUUGGUGUACCCGAACCCCAUUACAUGGUUGGACCGCACCCUGGUAUCCCUGGUGGGGUCUAUCACCAUGGUGCAGGCAGACAAAGCUCUGAAGGUUUCUUAAGUUCCCCUGGAGUUUGCCGAACACUCGCACGAGGUUGCUUCUGGCUACCGACAGGAAGGGAGUCCUCUCAGUCGACGGAGACCCCCGAAAUUCGCGGAUUUCCGAAGUCUGGACUUCGGAGUAAACCCUGCCAAGUCUACGUCGACUGCACAGAAAUUUGCGGGAAGUGUACAUUUGUAACAAUACUUAUAAAACUGUAUAAAAAAAAGAAAAAGACUUGGAAAUUGCGACAAGUACGCGAUAACGUGCUAUGUACAUAUUAAAUUGCGGCAUAUAUUCCUCGUCGAAAUAAUCGCGACACCUGGAAUUAUAAUCAGAGACGAUGAUAUAUUAUUUAGGAUAAUGUAAAGAGAUAGUGAUUUGAUUUUGGUUUGAAAAAGAAAAAAUACUUGCAAUUACCGAGGUGUGGUCAUGGUCUCCUUUCAUUGUGUUAAACAAUAUACGUCGUUAUCAAAGAUGUUCAGCUUUGACUUUUGGGUGUUUCCAGUUUUUGGCGAACAGUCUAUAAUCGAGGACAUUUCUUUUGUUUUUCUCGUACUUUCUGUUAAGCAAAUCAUUCUUGCAUUUCAUUUAUUUUUAAAUAUGCUCUUGGUAAUGUUGUAUACAGCAUUGGAAGUUUUAUUUUUGUUUUUUGCAUUUACGGUUAUCCGAAGUUUAGGCUUCGGAGCAAACUCUGCCAGGUUCACGUCGACUGUGCGCAGAUAGGCGACGAUUAUUAAUUCGUAGUAUUUGUUAAACCGCUUAAACACGAGGUUUGUUCGCUUUGUCUACAUUUUCUACCCUCGAGGGUAACGAGGGUAUUACACUUUUCUUGAAAAGUGCAGAAGGGUAGAUACACUUUCAUUGGCAUCCCGAACUUCGGAAAGCUCAAGAAAAUACAAGAUGGCCGCUUUAGCGGGACAGUCUGCGAUUUUGGAGCUAUUCUAAAAUUCACAAUUUAUUCCAUUCCAACCGCAGUUACGCGGUAAUACACAAUAAUUGUAAAUAAAUAAAUUACAAAUCAGUA
This 2453-nucleotide unclassified non-coding RNA is filed under the name Orussus abietinus. RNAcentral's name for it is "abhydrolase domain-containing protein 2, transcript variant X1". Lineage: Eukaryota; Metazoa; Arthropoda; Insecta; Hymenoptera; Orussidae. The record is from RNAcentral.